GGGGAAUAUUGGACAAUGGGCGCAAGCCUGAUCCAGCCACGCCGCGUGAGUGAUGAAGGCCUUCGGGUCGUAAAGCUCUGUGGGGAGGGACGAACCGCUGCCGGCUAAUACCCGGCAGCAUGACGGUACCUCCUUAGCAAGCACCGGCUAACUUCGUGCCAGCAGCCGCGGUAAUACGAAGGGUGCAAACGUUGCUCGGAAUUAUUGGGCGUAAAGCGCACGUAGGCGGCUUAGCAAGUCGGAAGUGAAAUCCCUCGGCUCAACCAAGGAAGUGCUUUCGAAACUGCUGAGCUUGAGUACUUAAGAGGAUCGCGGAAUUCCCGGUGUAGAGGUGAAAUUCGUAGAUAUCGGGAGGAACACCAGUGGCGAAGGCGGCGAUCUGGGAAGAUACUGACGCUGAGGUGCGAAAGCGUGGGGAGCAAAC
This 424-nucleotide ribosomal RNA is filed under the name uncultured bacterium. RNAcentral's name for it is "bacterial SSU rRNA". It matches the Rfam family "Bacterial small subunit ribosomal RNA", at positions 356 to 773 of the family's 1533-position model. The record is from RNAcentral.